RNAcentral lists this ribosomal RNA (167 nucleotides) under uncultured Clostridium sp. RNAcentral describes it as "partial 16S ribosomal RNA". It matches the Rfam family "Bacterial small subunit ribosomal RNA", at positions 338 to 524 of the family's 1533-position model. Lineage: Bacteria; Bacillati; Bacillota; Clostridia; Eubacteriales; Clostridiaceae. The record is from RNAcentral.
CCUAGGGGAGGCAGCAGUGGGGAAUAUUGCACAAUGGGGGAAACCCUGAUGCAGCAACGCCGCGUGAGUGAUGAAGGUCUUCGGAUUGUAAAACUCUGUCUUUGGGGACGAUAAUGACGGUACCCAGGAGGAAGCCCGGCUAACUACGUGCCAGCAGCCGCGGUAAU